GACGAACGCUGGCGGCGUGCCUAAUACAUGCAAGUCGAGCGAAGUUUUUCUGGUGCUUGCACUAGAAAAACUUAGCGGCGAACGGGUGAGUAACACGUAAAGAACCUGCCUCAUAGACUGGGACAACUAUUGGAAACGAUAGCUAAUACCGGAUAACAGUAUUUCUCGCAUGAGAGAUAUUUAAAAGUUGGUUAUGCUAACACUAUGAGAUGGCUUUGCGGUGCAUUAGCUAGUUGGUGGGGUAAAGGCCCACCAAGGCGACGAUGCAUAGCCGACCUGAGAGGGUGAUCGGCCACACUGGGACUGAGACACGGCCCAGACUCCUACGGGAGGCAGCAGUAGGGAAUCUUCCGCAAUGGGCGAAAGCCUGACGGAGCAACGCCGCGUGAGUGAAGAAGGAUUUCGGUUCGUAAAGCUCUGUUGUUAGGGAAGAAUGGAUAUGUAGUAACUAUACAUGUAAGAGACGGUACCUAACCAGAAAGCCACGGCUAACUACGUGCCAGCAGUCGCGGUAAUACGUAGGUGGCAAGCGUUGUCCGGAAUUAUUGGGCGUAAAGCGCGCGCAGGUGGUUUAAUAAGUCUGAUGUGAAAGCCCACGGCUCAACCGUGGAGGGUCAUUGGAAACUGUUAAACUUGAGUGCAGGAGAGAAAAGUGGAAUUCCUAGUGUAGCGGUGAAAUGCGUAGAGAUUAGGAGGAACACCAGUGGCGAAGGCGGCUUUUUGGCCUGUAACUGACACUGAGGCGCGAAAGCGUGGGGAGCAAACAGG
RNAcentral lists this ribosomal RNA (768 nucleotides) under uncultured bacterium. RNAcentral describes it as "bacterial SSU rRNA". It matches the Rfam family "Bacterial small subunit ribosomal RNA", at positions 28 to 776 of the family's 1533-position model. The record is from RNAcentral.